UUACGGUCAUAUCACGUUGAAACACCGGUUCCCGUACGAUCGGCGAAGUUAAGCAACGUCAAGCCUGGCCAGUAUCUAGAUGGGUGAUCACUUGGGAAUACAAUGUGUUGUAAG
Non-coding RNA from Acanthosepion pharaonis, 114 nucleotides. NCBI's taxonomy places the organism in Eukaryota, Metazoa, Mollusca, Cephalopoda, Sepiida, Sepiidae. The record is from the annotation of a GenBank genome assembly.